RNAcentral lists this ribosomal RNA (93 nucleotides) under bacterium. The record is from RNAcentral.
GGUGGCGGUUAUGCUGGAGUUGUUCCACCCGAUCCCAUUCCGAACUCGGAAGUGAAAUACUCCAAGGCCGAUGAUAGUGGGUUUUUCCCGCGA